Crotalus tigris (Tiger rattlesnake) is the source of this 567-nucleotide long non-coding RNA. RefSeq lists it as uncharacterized. The transcript has 4 exons. NCBI's taxonomy places the organism in Eukaryota, Metazoa, Chordata, Lepidosauria, Squamata, Viperidae. The record is from RefSeq and is a predicted model, not a curated record.
GGCAGAAUGAAAUUUGGUGCAGAUCUUUCAGGUGGACAAAAAAAGAAAAAAGAAGCCUCAUGUUGAUGUUCAGACUUCCACAAUUCAGUGGUCCCUGGAUAUGUUGCCUGAUGAAUUUGAAAAGGGCCAGUUUGACCUAAAACUAUACUGAGCACCAAUGACUAGGGGUUGAUCUACACUUCCUCCUACUGAUGCCAGCAUGAGGACGUGCCACUUACCAUUGUGGGAGAGCAGAAAUGAGUGAUGUCAUCCUCAAUCUACUCCAAGUUGACUGGGAGAGUAACUACUGCCCAGAUUUUUUAGUUCCAUUUGAAAGGGGAUAAACGCAAGAAACAAGAACCGCACAGAUUUCAGAAAGACAGGUUUACUGCUAGUCAAGCCAAUGACGUUCUCCUCCUUCAUCUAAUACUCCCAGUGACUUAUAACUGCUAACCCAUAAAGUAAGAAGCUGGAGUCCAAAAUCAUCUCCUAGAACAGUGGUUCGCAACCUUUUUAAUGCCGUGACCCCCAACCGGUCGUAAGUCGAGGACUACUCAACCGGUCGUAAGUUGAGGACUACUCAACUGG